RNAcentral lists this ribosomal RNA (468 nucleotides) under uncultured bacterium. RNAcentral's name for it is "partial 16S ribosomal RNA". It matches the Rfam family "Bacterial small subunit ribosomal RNA", at positions 28 to 507 of the family's 1533-position model. The record is from RNAcentral.
GACGAACGCUGGCGGCGUGCUUAACACAUGCCAGUCGAACGGAAAGGCCCUGCUUUUGUGGGGUGCUCGAGUGGCGAACGGGUGAGUAACACGUGAGUAACCUGCCCUUGACUUUGGGAUAACUUCAGGAAACUGGGGCUAAUACCGGAUAGGAGCUCCUGCUGCAUGGUGGGGGUUGGAAAGUUUCGGCGGUUGGGGAUGGACUCGCGGCUUAUCAGCUUGUUGGUGGGGUAGUGGCUUACCAAGGCUUUGACGGGUAGCCGGCCUGAGAGGGUGACCGGCCACAUUGGGACUGGGGUACCGCCCAGACUCCUACGGGAGGCAGCAGUGGGGAAUAUUGCACAAUGGGCGGAAGCCUGAUGCAGGAACGCCGCGUGCGGGAUGACGGCCUUUGGGUUGUAAACCGCUUUCGCCUGUGACGAAGCGUGAGUGACGGUAAUGGGUAAAGAAGCACCGGCUAACUACGUG